This 316-nucleotide ribosomal RNA is filed under the name uncultured bacterium. RNAcentral describes it as "bacterial SSU rRNA". It matches the Rfam family "Bacterial small subunit ribosomal RNA", at positions 773 to 1079 of the family's 1533-position model. The record is from RNAcentral.
ACGCAAUAGAUACCCGGGUAGUCCACGCCCUAAACGAUGUCUACUAGUUGUUGGGAGAGUAAAAUCUCUUAGUAAACGCAGCUAAACGCGUGAAGUAGACCGCCUGGGGAGUACGGUCGCAAGAUUAAAACUCAAAGGAGUUGACGGGGGCCCGGCACAAGCGGUGGAUUAUGUGGAUUAAUUCGAUGCAACGCGAAAAACCUUAACCUGGCCUUGACAUGCUACUAACGAAGCAGAGAUGCAUUAGGUGCCCGAAACGGGAAAGUAGACACAGGUGCUGCAUGGCUGUCGUCAGCUCGUGUCGUGAGAUGUUGGG